Molecule: ribosomal RNA, 454 nt
Filed under: uncultured bacterium
Lineage: Bacteria
Description: bacterial SSU rRNA
Rfam family: Bacterial small subunit ribosomal RNA
Source: RNAcentral
GACGAACGCUGGCGGCGUGCCUAACACAUGCAAGUCGAACGGAACUUCUUUAAAGGAUUUCUUCGGAAUGAUUUUGAUUAAGUUUAGUGGCGGACGGGUGAGUAACGCGUGAGUAACCUGCCUCUGAGAGGGGAAUAACAUUCUGAAAAGAAUGCUAAUACCGCAUAACAUAUAUUUAUCGCAUGGUAGAUAUAACAAAGAUUUAUCGCUCAGAGAUGGACUCGCGUCCGAUUAGUUAGUUGGUGAGGUAACGGCUCACCAAGACCGCGAUCGGUAGCCGGACUGAGAGGUUGAACGGCCACAUUGGGACUGAGACACGGCCCAGACUCCUACGGGAGGCAGCAGUGGGGGAUAUUGCGCAAUGGGGGAAACCCUGACGCAGCAACGCCGCGUGAAGGAUGAAGGUCUUCGGAUUGUAAACUUCUUUUAUUAAGGACGAAGAAAGUGACGGUAC